AGCAACUCAAGAAGGGGAAGACAGGCAACCUGCAUUAAUAAUAUAAAAUUUAAAAUCUUCAUUCAAGCCUGGGAAAACAAGUCCUUCCCUCCACCUUCCCACUCCCACUCCUGGAUGCACAGGGGUCCUGUGGUGCUUGGUAAUGGUGCCUGCAUCACAGUAAAUUUCCUUUUAAACUUGACUUUUAUAAACAGGAAAGCCCUGGCUGGACCUUGACACCUACAGGCACCAAGGAGAUUGAAGCCACAGGAUGUGUGACUCCUGCAUCCCAUCCCUGUACUCAGGAGGAGACUCCCAAGAGGGGCAGCUGAACAGGAGGAAGGGACACCAGCCUGGAACUGGGAAUGUGUGGUUCUGACCUGGGGGUGCUGGUCCACUAAUGCCCAUCAUGAUAACAACAGCAGUGAAUGGGAACAGCACAGUUAUUGAAUACUGUGCCCAAAGCUCUUUCUGCUUACAUCCAAAGAAGAAUUCACUGAAGUAAGCACCAUCACUCCCAUUUCAUAGGUGACAAAACUGAAGCCAGAGAGGUUCAGUAACUGUUCAAGUUCACACAGCCAGAAGAUGGGGGACCUAGACUAACUCUGACUUCACUGAGGUGAAGUCCAACCUUGUAACUACUCUUUGGUACCAUCCAGCUGUGGGACCUAGCUGAAACCAAACUUAAUUUUGGUUGAUCGAAACCUAACAAUAAAUGUUGAAACCACAAAAAGAACUUGAAGAAAACUAGAAAAAAUGAGAAACAUACUUUUGAAGGUAGGGCUAUCCUUUUAAGCAAGAUAUGAAACCAAUAAGUACUAAAAAAAACUUUUGAUACCUUUGAGUUCAUGAAAUAACAUUUUCGACUCCUGGGUAAAAUAAACUGUAAUAGAUUUAAUGGAAUUCUUACAAAAUUCCAGUAAGAUUUUUCACAGAAAAAAAAAUUCUCCAAAAAAUUUGUAUGGAAUCAGAAAAGACCCCAAAUAGCAAAAGCAAAAAGAAUAAAACUGAAUCUCACUCCCUGAUUUGAAAAUACAAUGUUAUUGAAAUUGAAACAGCAGGGUAUUGGCACAAAAACAGACACAUUGACCAAUGGAAAAAAAAGAAAUUCCAUAAAUAAACCCAAUGUUUACAGUCAGUUGAUGUGAUGUUUGACAAAUGUGCUAAGAAUAUACAUCGGGGAAAGGACAGUGUGUUCAGUAAAUGCAUAUGGGAAGAUGGGAGGAAUAGAGGAACUUUAGACAGGGCAAAGG
This 1232-nucleotide long non-coding RNA is filed under the name Marmota monax (woodchuck). The record is from RNAcentral. Lineage: Eukaryota; Metazoa; Chordata; Mammalia; Rodentia; Sciuridae.